UAAUACGUAGGCAGCGAGCGUUGUUCGGAAUUACUGGGCGUAAAGAGUGUGUAGGCGGUGCUCUAAGUUCGGUGUGAAAUCUCCUGGCUUAACUGGGAGGGUGCGCCGGAAACUGGAGUGCUCGAGCGUGGGAGAGGAAAGCGGAAUUCCUGGUGUAGCGGUGAAAUGCGUAGAUAUCAGGAGGAACACCUGUGGUGUAGACGGCUUUCUGGACCAAAGCUGACGCUGAGACACGAAAGCGUGGGUAGCAAACAGGAUUAGAUACCCUGGUAGUCCACGCCCUAAACGAUGCAUACUUGGUGUCGGCCAUUCAGUUGGUCGGUGCCGGAGCUAACGCGUUAAGUAUGCCGCCUGGGGAGUACGGUCGCAAGGCU
This 374-nucleotide ribosomal RNA is filed under the name uncultured bacterium. Its description in RNAcentral is "bacterial SSU rRNA". It matches the Rfam family "Bacterial small subunit ribosomal RNA", at positions 521 to 895 of the family's 1533-position model. The record is from RNAcentral.